Molecule: transfer RNA, 73 nt
Filed under: Bacteroidota bacterium
Lineage: Bacteria; Pseudomonadati; Bacteroidota
Also listed under: 4 other names
Description: tRNA-Ala
Rfam family: tRNA
About the family: Transfer RNA (tRNA) molecules are approximately 80 nucleotides in length. Their secondary structure includes four short double-helical elements and three loops (D, anti-codon, and T loops).
Source: RNAcentral
GGGCCGGUAGCUCAGUUGGGAGAGCGCCAGAAUCGCACUCUGGAGGUCGGGAGUUCGAAUCUCCUCCGGUCCA